GGAGAGGUGCCCGAGUGGUCUAAGGGAGCGGUCUUGAAAACCGUCGUGGCGCAAGUCACCGUGGGUUCGAAUCCCACCCUCUCCGCCA
Molecule: transfer RNA, 88 nt
Filed under: Armatimonadota bacterium
Lineage: Bacteria; Bacillati; Armatimonadota
Description: Armatimonadetes bacterium (wastewater metagenome) tRNA-Ser
Rfam family: tRNA
About the family: Transfer RNA (tRNA) molecules are approximately 80 nucleotides in length. Their secondary structure includes four short double-helical elements and three loops (D, anti-codon, and T loops).
Source: RNAcentral